GUCAGGGCUGGAGGGAGAUCUUGAGGUGAGGAGGAUGGGCCAGAGAGUGACUUGCACAUCACUUAGUGAGAAGUGAAGUCAGGAUCUGAAUCCAGGCAGGCUGAUUCCAGCAUCAACAUCACCACUUAGAACUGGACCUCCCCUUCCCUCUGCCCUCCUCUGACUCAGCCACAUGCCAGAAGCACACGACGCUUGUCACAACACAGGACUUGCAC
RNAcentral lists this long non-coding RNA (215 nucleotides) under Pan troglodytes (chimpanzee). Its description in RNAcentral is "long non-coding RNA NONPTRT005705". Lineage: Eukaryota; Metazoa; Chordata; Mammalia; Primates; Hominidae. The record is from RNAcentral.